This 246-nucleotide non-coding RNA is filed under the name Bacillus sp. (in: firmicutes). Its description in RNAcentral is "Bacillus sp. T-box sequence". It matches the Rfam family "T-box leader". From Rfam's summary of the family: Uncharged tRNA acts as the effector for transcription antitermination of genes in the T-box leader family. T-boxes are found upstream of many aminoacyl-tRNA synthetase genes and some amino acid biosynthetic genes usually in Gram-positive bacteria. The record is from RNAcentral. Lineage: Bacteria; Bacillati; Bacillota; Bacilli; Caryophanales; Bacillaceae.
UCAACAACGAUGACGAAGAGAUGCCUUGGACGGGAAACCCUCAGAGAGCCGAUGGUCGCUGCGAAUCGGUGGUUCCCUCCAAGGAUGAGCACUUCCGAGUUGUUGCGCUGAACCGAUGUCCCGGGCAUCCAGUAGGCGCGAACGGUUGAUCCGUUAUCUCUCAGGUCCCGUACCUGGCAAGGUUCUUCUUUGCGAAAAGAAGAACGAAUGAGGGUGGCACCGCGAAGCAAGCCUCUCGUCCCUCAC